RNAcentral lists this ribosomal RNA (328 nucleotides) under uncultured eukaryote. RNAcentral describes it as "partial 18S ribosomal RNA". It matches the Rfam family "Eukaryotic small subunit ribosomal RNA", at positions 1470 to 1796 of the family's 1831-position model. The record is from RNAcentral.
CCCUUAGAUGUCUUGGGCCGCACGCGCGCUACACUGAUGCAUGCAACGAGUUUAUAACCUUGGCCUGAAAGGUCUGGGUAAUCUUUUGAACGUGCAUCGUGAUAGGGAUAGAUUAUUGCAAUUGUUAAUCUUGAACGAGGAAUUCCUAGUAAACGCGAGUCAUCAGCUCGCAUUGAUUACGUCCCUGCCCUUUGUACACACCGCCCGUCGCACCUACCGAUUGAAUGGUUCGGUGAAGAUCUCGGACUUCGAUAUUUAUUCUUUAUUGAGUUUAUAUUGUGGGAAGUUAUCUAAACCUCAUCAUUUAGAGGAAGGUGAAGUCGUAACA